UCCUACGGGAGGCAGCAGUAGGGAAUAUUGGGCAAUGGGCGCAAGCCUGACCCAGCGACGCCGCGUGAGGGAUGAAGGUCUUCGGAUUGUAAACCUCUUUCAGUAGGGAAGAAGCGAAAGUGACGGUACCUAAAGAAGAAGCACCGGCUAACUAUGUGCCAGCAGCCGCGGUAAUACAUAGGGUGCAAGCGUUGUCCGGAAUUAUUGGGCGUAAAGAGCUCGUAGGUCGUUUGUCGCGUCGAUUGUGAAAAUCUGAGGCUCAACCUCAGACCUGCAGUCGAUACGGGCAAACUAGAGUGUGGUAGGGGAGACUGGAAUUCCUGGUGUAGCGGUGGAAUGCGCAGAUAUCAGGAGGAACACCAAUGGCGAAGGCAGGUCUCUGGGCCAUAACUGACACUGAGGAGCGAAAGUGCGGGGAGCGAACAGGAUUAGAUACCCUGGUAGUCCGUACCGUAAACGGUGGGCACUAGUUGUGGGAACCUUCCACGGUUUCCGCGACGCAGCAAACGCAUUAAGUGCCCCGCCUGGGGAGUACGAUCGCAAGAUUAAAACUCAAAGGAAUUGACGGA
RNAcentral lists this ribosomal RNA (569 nucleotides) under uncultured bacterium. Its description in RNAcentral is "bacterial SSU rRNA". It matches the Rfam family "Bacterial small subunit ribosomal RNA", at positions 337 to 917 of the family's 1533-position model. The record is from RNAcentral.